AUGUCGAGCAAGAGCAAGAAAGGAUCUCCUCUGAGCAAGAAAAGAUCUCUUGCUGAGUCUGGCGAAAGUUCUAAGCCAAAAAAGAGUAGGCGGGGCCCCGAUCCCUUGGACACCAUUAGGUUUCGUCCACUAAAAGAUGGACCGAUGAUUACUGCAGAUCUGGUGGAAUGUUAUACACGUCAGUUUGGUCAGGAUCUUUUCAUGAAAGUGAACAAGAAGGAACGCUAUAUUGAUGUGCGGUUUGCGGAUAAGAAGUCUGCAGACAGUGUUAAACGAAAUUUUCAAGUUACUUGGCAGAUGCCUCCUUUCGACAUGGUUUUGACAAAUACCAUUGAUGGGUCUCAGAUAAUUACCCCUGGAGAAGUUAAAAUGUACCAGCCUCCCCGUGAUCUUGAUCAUGAUAAUACACAGCCAAGUGUUCCCCUGUGUUGGAACAACCCACACCCUGUUACAUUUGAAUUUCCUGAGAAGAAGGAUGAAGAGGCUGAUGAGGCAAGUCCAGCGGCUGAUGAGUCAAGUCCAGCGGCUGAUUUGCCUCCUCGGGUGCAGAAGCCUAAAACUACUAAGCCACGUCGUCAGCCUCGGGUGAUAGCCAAGUAUCCUCCAACUGCUCAGCCACCUCCUCCAUCUUCACGCCCUCCCUUCCGUGAACCUAAGUGGCCGACUCCACCUCCACAUAUUACUGCAUGA
Molecule: ribosomal RNA, 690 nt
Filed under: Triticum aestivum (bread wheat)
Lineage: Eukaryota; Viridiplantae; Streptophyta; Magnoliopsida; Poales; Poaceae
Description: partial small subunit ribosomal RNA
Source: RNAcentral